Molecule: ribosomal RNA, 404 nt
Filed under: uncultured bacterium
Lineage: Bacteria
Description: bacterial SSU rRNA
Rfam family: Bacterial small subunit ribosomal RNA
Source: RNAcentral
UAGGGAAUAUUAGUAAUGGGCGAAAGCCUGAACUAGCAACGCCGCGUGUGCGAAGAAGGCCUUCGGGUUGUAAAGCACUUUUUGAGAGGAUGAGGAAGGACGGUACUCUCAGAAUAAGUCUCGGCUAACUACGUGCCAGCAGCCGCGGUAACACGUAGGAGGCAAACGUUAUCCGGAUUUACUGGGCGUAAAGCGCGUGUAGGUGGUUUGGUAAGUAGGGCGUGAAAGCUCCUGGCUCAACUGGGAGAGGCCGCUCUAAACUGCCGAACUAGAGGAUGGUAGAGGGAGGUGGAAUUCCGGGUGUAGCGGUGGAAUGCGCAGAUAUCCGGAGGAACACCAGUGGCGAAAGCGGCCUCCUGGACCAUUCCUGACACUCAGACGCGAAAGCUAGGGUAGCAAACGGG